GCUUAAUUAGAUUUAACGCUGCUAAAGUCAACCUAAACUCGUAGUGUAGACCAGGCCUGUGACUCCAUGGCAAGAUUGUUAUAGUGAUCCCAGGAGUUCAUGUUUAGUACUGGGUUGGUGAAGUCUAAUUAUAAAACAUACCACCAGUUUGCUCUUAGGUAGCCACUCACGGUUGUGAGCCACUCCAGACAUGAUUGGUUGGCUCCCUGAUCUCUCUACCUGGCUGAGGCUGCUCUAACAUGCAGCAGGUACUUGGCUAUGUUUCCCAAGAGACACCCACCAGCUGGAGAGAGCCAGGAUACAUUAUGGUCCAACCACUCCCUCUAACAUUCUCCCUGUACCAGGGAGAAUGGCAAAGGAGCUAACCCGAGAAGUUCCCCAUACCAAGAGAACCCUCAGCAAGAGGGUUACGGCCAGUCUCUGCUCUUUGUGCCUUCUGAGUGGUGCAAAAGAAACAGAAUACUGACAAGAACGUGUCCCUAUAUCAUUUGAAAAAACAAAAUAGCUGAAGAUGUCUGCAGGCAAAUAUUAAUCAGGGCUUAUACUUAUAAUUGUUUAAACCCAUCAAAGACCUUUAGCUGUCCUUAAAAUUACUAUGAAAAAAAAAAUAGUGCUAUUACUAUGGGCAAGCAGCUGAAGACUGAAGUACAAUACAACUUGUUUAUAAUAUGUCCUCUGUGCACAGAUUUGCAGAAAAGAGAAUAUAAAUAGUGAACUGAAGUUCCACAGAUAAAAUAUGAUGAGCUUUAAAUUCCAUAGAAAAUUCACAGAAAUUUUAUCAAAUGGUUUCUGCAAAAUAUCUGUAGCAACUGGUUCCUCUCUACCAGCUAAUGAUCAUGAUAGAAUUGAUUUCAAUUGCAAUGAGUAAGGGAGGAAAGUGCUGGAAAGCUCAUUUCAGUGACAGGGUUCUGCUCAGCACCCAAGUAUUAGAAGUCAAUCAAUAAGCCAUGGAGUACCAGGGAACAUUCAGCUAGAAACAUGAGAAUUAAAACAUCUCACAAGAGUCCCAGUAGGAGAUUAUGGCCUUUCCAGUGGAGAACAGCAAAUCCACAGGAUUCUGUAGAUUUUUUUCUGAGAUGCAGAUUUCCAGUGGCCUUAAUCAUGAGAAAAAGAGAGGGUUUUAAGAUGAGAUCUAAGGUAUGGAAGUGACUCACUUAUUCGGAGAGUUCCAGACAGAUGAUGCAAUGUAAGCAAAAGAGAACUCUCUGUCUGAGAGGAAGAGACAGAAAGGAGCAUGUGGAGAAUGAAGUGAUAUGAGGUCAAGGAAAUAGGGUGGAGUAAGUCCAUGGAGAUUUUUGAAAGCCAGGAGAAUAGUUAUGGAGUUGAUUUGGAAACUGAUAAAGAAGCAUUUUGACAACGUAACUGCAACCGUAGGUUCGCCUUCAUUGAGAUUCUUUACUGGUUAUACACUAGGACAAAUUUAGGAAAUCAGAGCUAAUGGACAGAUUGACAGACAAAGGAGAUGUGGAAGUAAAAGAAAGUAAGAGACUUAGGAUAAUUUGAAAACUUCUAGCCUUUGGAGAAAAGCUCACAUCUGAGUUCGAGAGAAUGAUAGUGGAUUCAGAGAUGUUGAACAAGCGCUACCUUUUGUACCCAAAAGCAAAAACUUCAGUCUUUGAAGCAUUCAGUAGUGUGAAGUUAGAGUGUAACCAGGAUUUAGCAGACAAGAAAAGAAGAGUGAAAACCAAAAGACCAGUUAGUAAAUUGAGGGAAACUGAACUAUUAUCCUAACAGGAGUGAGGUCCAGACAAGGAGCUAACAGUGAGGUGCACCAGAGACAGAAGACAGAUAAAGAAGGAGAUGAUGAAGAUGUAAAGAUCACCGGGAGAAGACAGACUAAAGGCCUCUAUUGAAAUGAGAGUGAAAUAGUCUAUAACAGAAAUGCUGACAAUAGAAUACACUGGAGGUAGUGAGCUACUGGAGACUUUCAGAGGGUUUGACUUGACUUGGACUUAAAGGUGUAUGAGGGGCUUGCUGCAGCACCAGAGUUGAAGGCAUCUGAUGAUGUAGUGCCGGGGAGGAAGAGCGGCCUGACGCAGAUCUCGCUCUCUCCCCGUCUUCUUUCGCCGUUGGUACUGGUACUGCUUGUCUUGAUGUUUGCAGUGCUUCUUCUUGAGCACUGGGGAAGAUGCCCGGUGCCGAAAGUCCUGGGUCGAUGGAGAAGCGCUCUGCACCAAUGCUGAGGUACUUGGUGCCAAGUCCGAGUGUGGCUCUGAGGUAGGUCUUUAAAGCCACCUCUAUGAGAGGACCUUCAGUCAAGUGUCUUGGUCCUUCUUGGUCCAUGGUUUACACUAAAGAGUGGAGGAAAAAAACCCAUCAAGACAAGGAUUGCCUGAGCACUGAGGGGUUCCAGCAACCAUUACUGGUGGUAAGAAGGUAGGGUGACCAGAUGAUAACUCCAAAAUAUCGGGACCGCCGCAGGGGGAGCGCCUUUGGCGGCACUUUGGUGGUGGGUAAUAAACCUUGCUGCCAAAGAAAGAAGUACUGUACCUACCGCCGAAAUGCCGCCAAAGGACCCCUAAAGGACUCCACACCCUAUAUCUUGAGGCAGGUGCAGAGUCCUUUAGGGGAAGGGAAGCAACUGGGAUAGUGCAAUGAGAAUAAGAGGUGGGGGGGAACAUUAAGCUCAGAGAUCCAGGCAGCAGCAGUGGGGUCAGUACAAACCGGUUCCUAGCCGUUCAUAGCGCUAGUGCUGCUUUCCCUCCCCUCCCCAUUUGACACAGGGAGGGCAGGGAUGGGUCCUGGCUGAGUGAGUGUAACAAUUGAAAAGGCGCUCCCCCUGCCUGUCACCGCCACCUAAGCAAAAAAAACUAAAAUAAUAAUAAAAAAAAAAAGGCUGCCAUGCCCGAAACAAAAUAUCGGGACAAAUGGUGUCCCGACCGUACAAACUGCUCGAUAUCAGUCUACUUUUAUUUUUUAUUUUAUUUUAUUUUGGUGUUCUGUCAUGUAAUUUAAAUGAAAAUCCAGGAUUAUAACUGGAAUUCAGGGUAUUAGUUACAAAUACUUCGUAACUAUCAUUCAUGUGUUUAAGAAAUCCUGAAUAGUUAAUGUGAUUUUUUUCAGUAUUGUAGUUUAAAUAACUUAUCAAAACAAUUGAAACUGGUGUGAUGAUGUUGAAUUAUUUUGACAAAUAAAAUGUGCAGAAUUUUUAAUUUUUUGGUGCAGAAUCCCCCCAGGAGGAAUAUAUAAGAAUAAUAGAUAUAUGUGGGAGAGGGACUAAUAGUGGGUAAAAAAAAAAAAAAAAUCUGUCAAAUAUUUCAUUGAAAUAUAUUCAUGAAAUUCAUUGAAUAAAUUUGCUGAAUAUGUUCAUUAACUAUUCAGCCAGCUGUGUACUUUGGAUGAAUGAUAGGGAAAAUAUUCAAAUCAUGUAUUUGAGAACUAUCAUAAAAUUGAUUAAAUAAACUAUUAUUCAGCCAGCUC
Trachemys scripta elegans is the source of this 3420-nucleotide long non-coding RNA. RefSeq lists it as uncharacterized. The transcript has 3 exons. The record is from RefSeq and is a predicted model, not a curated record. NCBI's taxonomy places the organism in Eukaryota, Metazoa, Chordata, Testudines, Emydidae.